RNAcentral lists this unclassified non-coding RNA (373 nucleotides) under soil metagenome. Its description in RNAcentral is "partial contains 5.8S ribosomal RNA, internal transcribed spacer 2, and large subunit ribosomal RNA". The stretch from base 1 to 121 matches the Rfam family "5.8S ribosomal RNA", at positions 35 to 154 of the family's 154-position model. The record is from RNAcentral.
GAUGAAGAACGUAGCGAAAUGCGAUAAGUAAUGCAAAUUGCAGAAUUCCAGUGAGUCAUCGAAUCUUUGAACGCACAUUGCGCCCUUUGGUAUUCCGAAGGGCAUGCCUGUUCGAGCGUCAUUAUCACCCCUCAAGCCCUCGGCUUGGUGUUGGACGGUUUGGUGGAGGCCCCCUCGGGGGCUCCUGCCCCUCCCAAAGACAAUGACGGCGGCCUCGUUGGACCCCCGGUACACUGAGUUCUUCACGGGACACGUAUCGGACACAUGGGUUUACGGGACACGGUCUGCCUCCCCUCAGGGAGAAUCUUUCUAAGGUUGACCUCGGAUCAGGUAGGGAUACCCGCUGAACUUAAGCAUAUCAAUAAGCGGAGGA